This 468-nucleotide ribosomal RNA is filed under the name uncultured bacterium. Its description in RNAcentral is "bacterial SSU rRNA". It matches the Rfam family "Bacterial small subunit ribosomal RNA", at positions 443 to 922 of the family's 1533-position model. The record is from RNAcentral.
GGAAGAAGCGAAAGUGACGGUACCUAAAGAAGAAGCACCGGCUAACUAUGUGCCAGCAGCCGCGGUAAUACAUAGGGUGCAAGCGUUGUCCGGAAUUAUUGGGCGUAAAGAGCUCGUAGGUGGUUUGUUGCGUCGGGUGUGAAAUUCAGGGGCUCAACCCCUGACCUGCACUCGAUACGGGCAAACUAGAGUUUGGUAGGGGAGACUGGAAUUCCUGGUGUAGCGGUGGAAUGCGCAGAUAUCAGGAGGAACACCAAUGGCGAAGGCAGGUCUCUGGGCCAAUACUGACACUGAGGAGCGAAAGCGCGGGGAGCGAACAGGAUUAGAUACCCUGGUAGUCCGCGCCGUAAACGAUGGGCGCUAGUUGUGGGGACCUUCCACGGUUUCUGCGACGCAGCUAACGCAUUAAGCGCCCCGCCUGGGGAGUACGAUCGCAAGAUUAAAACUCAAAUGAAUUGACGGGAAACU